CUACUACUCCCUCCGUCCGAAAAUACUUGUCAUUGAAAUGGAUGUAUCUAGAUGUAUUUUCGUUCUAGACACAUCCAUUUUGAUGACAAGUAAUUCCGGACGGAGGGAGUAUUAU
This is a non-coding RNA of Triticum aestivum (bread wheat), 115 nucleotides long. The record is from Rfam. Lineage: Eukaryota; Viridiplantae; Streptophyta; Magnoliopsida; Poales; Poaceae.